RNAcentral lists this ribosomal RNA (202 nucleotides) under uncultured bacterium. RNAcentral's name for it is "partial 16S ribosomal RNA". It matches the Rfam family "Bacterial small subunit ribosomal RNA", at positions 337 to 530 of the family's 1533-position model. The record is from RNAcentral.
UCCUACGGGAGGCAGCAGUGGGGAAUAUUGGACAAUGGGGGGAACCCUGAUCCAGCCAUGCCGCGUGUGUGAAGAAGGCCUUAUGGUUGUAAAGCACUUUAAGCGAGGAGGAGGCUCUUUUGGUUAAUACCCAAGAUGAGUGGACGUUACUCGCAGAAUAAGCACCGGCUAACUCUGUGCCAGCAGCCGCGGUAAUACAGAG